GCUAGGAUAGUGAUGGCGAAGGUUAACAGCUAUGGAAAAUUCAUUGGUAUGGAAGAAACAACGACAUGCCUGACAUUGACGCACAGCUGCAGCACACCAGUAAUCUUGAGCUUGCAGUUUUCAGAGGAGGACUGUGAGCAGCGCGUACAGAAGCCUCACUGACAUCGCUACGGCAUUCCGUCUGGUUCUGAAUGGCUGAUGUUCGCUCCAGAGAAUACCUACGCAUACACUUCCCAGCUACUGAUGCAUGAAUAAGACACUUAGUCACAGGGUUUGCUUCGAGAGGAUGCAUCACCUGAGGGCUGCCUUGGCACAGAGGAACUUGCUCCGUCACCGUAACAUGUCUUCAUCAGUCAGGACACAGUCUGCGUCACAGAGAGCUGGCCCCACACAUGAUACUGAAACCUCUCAUGCACUCCAAGUUCUUUUUUUUAUGUAUCUAGGACGACCCUUUAGCUGUCCCUUUGCUUUAAUCUGAUAUUUCAAAGAGCUGAUCAGACAUGUCCUCAUCAUCAUCAUCUCAUGCAUAAACCAACUCAAGAAUGCUGAAUCUUUUUCAUCACCUCAGAGAUUUUAAAAGCAGAAAUGUUGGAACUCAACAUUAGUCAGGCUUAUUAAGUAAAUUCAGCUGUUUUAUAUAACUGCGUUACGUGUAUGGAUUCUGAUUAGAUUUUUACUGUGGUGAUAACAACUGUAGCCCCUGUUUUGUCUUUAAAUAUGCUGUUUUGUGAACAGAUACAACAUGCUACAACAUACUUGUGACCCUUAAAUGCAACUUUUUCUGAAUGAGCCUUGGAGACUGUUUUUUUUCCUUUUUUUUAACCUUUCUUACAUCCAAAUCAUAGGGUUUUCAACAUUUUGUCUCCGCACUGAACACAUUUAACCAAAUUACACCCUAAAUCGCAGGGUGGCCUCCUGUACAUACAUUGUCAGUAGAAACUAUGUUAACUGUAAUAGAGAAGAUACAGUUUUAAACUUGCUAGCUGUAAAUAAGGACUUUUUGGGAUGUUUAAGAAAUAGAGGACAAGAGUAGUAAUAUGCAAAUAAUAAAAAAAGUAUAUUUUUGUCAAAUAUUUAUGACUGGAGAAAGAAGGGCUCUUUGUAUUUUUGUGGCAUUCUUUACAGUAGGAUUUCUUGGUGUAAAAUAAUCUCAAUAUAAAAAUAUUUGAUGUAAAA
Cyprinodon tularosa is the source of this 1176-nucleotide long non-coding RNA. RefSeq lists it as uncharacterized. Lineage: Eukaryota; Metazoa; Chordata; Actinopteri; Cyprinodontiformes; Cyprinodontidae. The record is from RefSeq and is a predicted model, not a curated record. The transcript has 3 exons.